AUUGAACGCUGGCGGCGUGCUUUACACAUGCAAGUCGAACGGCAGCAUUGCUUUCGGGCAGAUGGCGAGUGGCGAACGGGUGAGUAAUACAUCGGAACAUGCCAAGAAGUUUGGGAUAACUCAUCGAAAGAUGAGCUAAUACCGGAUAUACUCUGAGGAGGAAAGCUGGGGACUAGAAAUGGCCUGGUGCUUUUUGAUUGGCCGAUGGACGAUUAGCUAGUUGGUUGGGUAAAGGCUAACCAAGGCAAUGAUCGAUAGCUGUUCUGAGAGGAAGAUCAGCCACACUGGGACUGAGACACGGCCCAGACUCCUACGGGAGGCAGCAGUGGGGAAUUUUGGACAAUGGGGGCAACCCUGAUUCAGCAACGCCGCGUGAAUGAAGAAGGCCUUCGGGUUGUAAAGUUCUUUUAUUUGGGGGCAAAGGCAUUGUGUUAAUAGCAUGAUGUUAUGAGAGUACCGAAUGAAUAAGCACCUGCUAACUACGUGCCAGCAGCCGCCGUAA
Molecule: ribosomal RNA, 502 nt
Filed under: uncultured bacterium
Lineage: Bacteria
Description: partial 16S ribosomal RNA
Rfam family: Bacterial small subunit ribosomal RNA
Source: RNAcentral